AUGGACUCUGAGGCUGAAUCUGAAGAAAAUGAGGAAGAGGAGGCAUCUGAGGAUUCCGAAUCCGGUGUGGCGAGCCUAGCCCUCGCUACUGCAUUCGUCAGCAAGUCUAUCUUCAACACUGAAGAAAAUGACCUCACCAACAAGGCUGAUGAAGGCAAUGAUGACUACGCUCCCACCUAUUGCUUCAUGGCAAAGGGUGCCAAGGUACUCAAAUAUACCUCCUCUGAAUCAAGUGAGAGUGAAUCUGAUGAAAACCUUAGGCCCAGCUAUUCUAAACUUGCUAAGAUUGCUGUGAAACAAUAA
Molecule: ribosomal RNA, 303 nt
Filed under: Triticum aestivum (bread wheat)
Lineage: Eukaryota; Viridiplantae; Streptophyta; Magnoliopsida; Poales; Poaceae
Description: partial small subunit ribosomal RNA
Source: RNAcentral